GAAAGAACAGGUACCUUCACAACCUGGAAAUUUUGAAAAACUGAAUGAACUAAAAGUCCUGCUUUUCCCACCAAAGGUCUGUUGAAGAGGCUCAGCUGGGGAAUGAAAGAUAAGGACAAAGAACAUUUGGACUCAGCGAAAGCUUAUUGAGGCUGUGCUGCACUUUUUUGAAGAGAGUUAUUGGCAUGAUUUUCUGAGAACAAGAGGAAAAUGGAAAACAUUUUAGCAAGUUAAGGGAAAAAAAAUCAACAGUAUCAUUGUUUGCCGCUUUUGUUGAAACUACCUACACAAGUCAUUUGAGGGACAUGAAGAUGGAUAAAGUAUUAGACAUGACAGAAGGUGCAGUUGUGAGGGAAAUCAUAAAUCUUGGGUCUUUUCUGAGGUAAGAAAAAGGUGAAGGCCAGAUGCCUCCAGUUUUCUAGAAGUUAACUUAUGCUUGCUUACACUCAUAUAUAGCAACACUCUCCCUUUUCUCUCUUCUUUCUCAUUAACCAAGCCUUCCUGUUUGUAGAGAAAAAACUAUCGACUGUCAGUGUUACACUCAUAUUUUUCAGAUACUUUUUAUUUCUUCAAAACUCACAUAUCUUAUUUAUUAAGAGUUUUCUGAAGGAAAUUAAAUAGAAUUAUUUUAAUUAGUUUUGCAUUCUAAAGAAGUUCUUGAGAUUUUGGUAACUGUCCAAUGUAUUGUUCUCUAAAUCUAAGAAAAAGAGAAUAACCAGAGUAAAAAGAAAUAGAGAAGCAAGUCAAAAAAAUUAGGGCAAGGGCUACUGAGAAAAAUAAAGCUGAUUGGCAGAAAGAAAAAGUAAACUUU
Molecule: long non-coding RNA, 811 nt
Filed under: Oryctolagus cuniculus (rabbit)
Lineage: Eukaryota; Metazoa; Chordata; Mammalia; Lagomorpha; Leporidae
Description: lncRNA (ENSOCUG00000030775.1)
Source: RNAcentral